RNAcentral lists this ribosomal RNA (292 nucleotides) under uncultured bacterium. Its description in RNAcentral is "partial 16S ribosomal RNA". It matches the Rfam family "Bacterial small subunit ribosomal RNA", at positions 505 to 796 of the family's 1533-position model. The record is from RNAcentral.
GUGUCAGCAGCCGCGGUAAGACAGAGGGUGCAAACGUUGUUCGGAAUUACUGGGCAUAAAGCGCACGUAGGUGGUCCGCUAAGUCGCGUGUGAAAUCCCUCGGCUCAACCGAGGAAUUGCGGGCGAUACUGGCGGGCUAGAGAUCGGGAGGGGUGAGUGGAACUCCAGGUGGAGCGGUGAAAUGCGUAGAUAUCUGGAGGAACACCGGUGGCGAAAGCGACUCACUGGCCCGACACUGACACUGAGGUGCGAAAGCUAGGGUAGCAAACGGGAUUAGAUACCCUUGUAGUCC